RNAcentral lists this unclassified non-coding RNA (1627 nucleotides) under uncultured fungus. RNAcentral describes it as "sequence contains 18S rRNA gene, ITS1, 5.8S rRNA gene, ITS2, 28S rRNA gene". The stretch from base 686 to 1627 matches the Rfam family "Eukaryotic large subunit ribosomal RNA", at positions 1 to 961 of the family's 3401-position model. The record is from RNAcentral. Lineage: Eukaryota; Fungi.
AGAUGGAUCAUUCACAGCAAAUGAUUACACAUGCUGGUGCAUGCAUGCGUGCAUGCGGGCUUGGAACAUACGAAAUUAAGGAAAUUGGUUUUUGACUAGGACUAAACGAACUGAAAGAAAGUGGUUAUUGACUGGGACCAAACGAACUGUUAGCAAGUGGUUAUUGAAUUGGACUAAACGAACUGACAGCAAGUGGUUGUUGACUAAACGAACUGAAAGCAUGUGGUUAUUGACUUGGACCAAACGAACUGAAAGCAAGUGGUUAUUGACUCGGACCAAACGAACUGAAAGCAAGUGGUUAUUGACUCGGAACAAACGAACAUAAGGCCAGUGGUUAUUGUCUUGGACCAAACGAACUGAAAGCAAGUGGUUAUUAUUUCAAAUCAAAGUGUAUGGUUAAUUUCACGACUUUCAGCGAUGGAUGUCUCGGAUCUCGUAACGAUGAAGGACGCAGCUAGCUGCGAUAUGCAGUGUGACUUGCAAACUUCUGAGAAUCACUAGAUUUUUGAACGCAAAAGGCACUCUUGAGCUCUGCUCGGGAGUAUGCUCACUUCAGUGCUUUAUAUUUCUGUUGUCUUAAUUGGUAGACAACGUGGAUAGUCGCUGUUCUUACGGCCUCUGAAAUCGAAUGGUCCUCGACUCUUUGGUGAACCCAUAGAGUUACUGAUCAAGUUGUUAUUCAAACAAGCCUGAAUUUGAGCAAGGCUACCCGCUGAAUUUAAGCAUAUUAUUAAGCGGAGGAAGAGAAACUAACUAGGAUUCCCUUAGUAACGGCGAGUGAACAGGGAAGAGCUCAAACUGAAAAUCGGCAGCUUGCUGUUGAAUUGUAGUCUCGCGAAGUGCAACCUGUGUUUGUUUUGGGCUAAGUCUCUUGGAAAAGAGUACCAAAGAGGGUGAAAGUCCCGUCUUUACCCAGAAACAUUUACGUUCGGUGCAUUUUCAAAGAGUCGCGUUCCUUGUGAUUGGAGCGCUAAGUGGGUGAUAAAUUUCAUCUAAAGCUAAAUACUAACGAGAUUCCGAUAGCAUACAAGUACCGUGAGGGAAAGAUGAAAAGGACUUUGAAAAGAGAGUUAAAAGGAACUGAAAUCGCUGAAAGGGAAGCAGUUAGUCUUGGCCGUCCCGCAAAUCUGGGAGUUUGACUUAGUCGUAUAUGGCUGGUUUUGAACGCUAGAGUUCUGCGGUGACUCUGGGUGUGGUCGACGAAAUCGAGUGAAGCGAAUGUGUGUACCUCAAAGGGUCACUUUCUCGCUGUUUCCUAUUUCAUCGAUCUUUGCGCUAUUGCAACACCUUAGUGGUUGCAUUAUAGUAUCCCAGAGAUUGUCAUUUCUCACUGUCCCGUCUUGAAACACGGACCAAGGAGUCUAACUUAUGUGCGAGUACAAGGGUUGAAAACCCACGUGCGAAAUGAAAGUAAUUGUCAGGAAGGGCAACCUGCACUGACGCCCAGCUGCCAAGCUGAGGCUGAGCAUAUAGGUUAGGACCCGAAAGAUGGUGAACUAUGCCUGAGUAGGGUGAAGCCUGAGGAAACUCUGGUGGAAGCUCGUAGCGAUACUGACGUGCAAAUCGUUCGUCAAACUUGGGUAUAGGGGCGAAAGACUAAUCGAACCAUCUAGUAGCUGGUUCCCUC